RNAcentral lists this long non-coding RNA (1249 nucleotides) under Hordeum vulgare. Its description in RNAcentral is "long non-coding RNA (HVUL_LNC014070)". The record is from RNAcentral. Lineage: Eukaryota; Viridiplantae; Streptophyta; Magnoliopsida; Poales; Poaceae.
UUUACUCCACUAAAUUUAAAAGUUUGGGUAAGUCCGGCCAAAAUUUAAUGCAGUAAAUUUACUCCACUAAGGCUAACUCGAUGGUUUACUCUAUUUUUUAUGGGAUCGGCUAGACCGCUAGAGAUGCCCAAAGCUACCUCAUGUAGGACUAUUACACUUGCUGUUCUUUUUUUUUCUUUUUUUUUCUUUUUUUUUUUGCGGAUAGUACUCUUGCUUUUGCACAUACAUAGCUUGGAAACUAACCAAGCACGCUACGUAUUAAUCAUCUGGCCGCCUUGAUAGACUUGGUAAUCCAGACAAAAUAACUGGACACAAGCUAACUCAAGAUUAUGCUAACAGAUGCAAGACUGGCGCUGCCGUGGCAUGCAAGACUGUAGCUGGCAUCAGUAGGUCUUGAUGUCUACUUCGCAAGCAGAAGCUGGGAGACCUGGAUCCAAAGUCUGACAGUGUGAGAGCCAUUGAAAUGUGCAUUCUCAACCGAGCCCAUAAGGGUUAUUUGCUUCUUGGAGAAGCCUUGCCGAUGCCUCCCAUUCUUAAAACUCUCGGUAGUUGAGAAAUGCCAUGCAGUCUUCUGAGUGUGUUGACUGCCACUAGGCAAAUCGUCUGUCACUGCUUCGCUUCUCUACCACUUGAUGAAACAGUCUUUCAUCCCAUUUUAUUAAUAAAGCAACACCCGACAAGUACACCAGCUGAUUCACUUCAUUGCAUAUCCAUUGGGAUGUAAGCUCAAAUUAAACACUAGGUACGUAUGUACCGCAUAUAAACCAGACUACCAGAGGAUAAACAUUGUUCAUAUGUUGGACAGUAACAUGCUGGACUUAAUGCAUACGGAGUACAAGACAACCUGCUCUGCUUACUGUGCCGUGGUGGCCCUUGAGCUACUCUUUAUAGCCAGGGACAAGCUAGUGAGUACUUUGAAUGUACUCGCAAACAUCAUGAUAUUACACAUAAAAUAGCUGGUGGUUAAUAUGCACUUGAAAUGAUUCGAUGAUAUUCCGUUAGUCACAAUCCAACUUCUUAAGUGUAGGCAAACAGAUAUUUUAACCAUACUGAAAAUUUUAAUAAGCAAUCAAUGAAAUAAGUAUUUAUUGGAACAUCGGGCAGUAGUUCUCUCGAAUAUUUCAAAGAACAGGAAAAUAGUCCAAUCGGAUGUGUGGAGCAACGCCUUGAAAAGAUAAGAUAUAAAGCAUACCUCAGUCGGGCAUCUUAGCGACACCAUAUAAAGGGUUUAUAUGAAAUAAUAACAAGC